UGAAUUUAAUACUCAAAACCAUACGGUGUCUACUAGAAUACUCCUAAAAUCCGGUGUCACAAGUGUAUGAGCAACUAGUAUAAAAUACAAAAUCACCUAUACUACUGUCUCGAAUAAGAUAGACAUAAAGUAAAUACAAAAAAAAAAUUGCGGGUGCUGCAGAACGGACACAGAGAGAAGCUCACCACUAUGCCUCGGGGUAAUGGGAGUAUGCGCCUGAAUGACUGGCAGAUGCACCUGCCUCAGAUCAUGCACGAUUUGUGAAGAAGUGUAGCGUGAGUACAUAAACAACAUGUACCCAGUAAGUAUCUAAUCUAACCUCAAAGAAGUAGUGACGAGGGGUCGACGUCGAUACUUACUAUGGGCCGAUAAAUAAAAUACAGAAAUUCUAAAUGUGCAUGGAAUAUAUCAAUAAUAAUAACAAGUAACAAAUAGUAAAUAAGGGAUUCUUUAACUAGAAGUCAAUUUAAAAUCUCUAAUUAGCACAUACUAACUUCAACAAAUACGGGCCAUCAAGUAAACUGUAAUUUCUCAAGUCAUGAAAGUAAUAUCAAGUGUAAUCUGACUCCAAGCAUUAUCACGCACGAUUUAUGCUGAGGUCGUACGACCCGAACCAUAAUAAUAUGUACACUGCCGAGAGUCGACCGACACGAACCAUAGAUACAUCUAUUAUACCGUCGAGGCAUUCGGUCCGCUCCACAAGAAGAGAGAAUACUCUACGAACUCCGAUUUAAGGUUAUCACAAGACUAAUGCACAAGAAGGCACAAUUUCUAUCAACGGUCAAGUGACCCGCCGAAACUCAAAGUAAGUGAAGUUCGGUUUUUACAAAUCCUUUAUCAAGUUUCAAUAUAAUUUAAGCACUUAAAUUAACAAGUAGAGUGUAAUUAAUACAAGUAUUACAUGAUAGAUUCCUAAAACUACCUGGACAUAAACAUGAUUUGUGGCUACGCACGGACUCUCGUCACUUCAUGCAUACAUAGGACCCACAAUUAGUAGCAAAUAGUAAUCUAAAAUACAUAUGGGGUAAAUUACCUCUUACAAGGUUAGGCAAGAGACUUACCUCGUUUCAAAGUCCACUUUUCGAUCCCCAAAUCACUCUAAAAUCCUCAAGUCGAUGCCGGACAAUCCGAAACUAGUCAAAUAUUAUAUAAAUUAAUCAAUGCAUACUCAAAAUUUCAUAAUUUAGCUUCUAGAGUCAUAACCCAACCCAAAUUGGAAGAUUCUUAAAAUUCGUCCCCUGGCCCACGUAUCCAAAUUCCAAAUUUUUUUGAAGAUAAAUGUUACUCAUAACCCCACGAACCCAAAUAUAUAAUUUUUACACAAUUUCAUAAUCAUUUUCGUAGUCCAAUCACAUUUUUAUCAAAAUUUAGGGUUUUCAACUAAACCUAUAAUUUCUACAAUUCACAUGUUAGGAAUAUACCCAAAAUCUGCGUAUUAAACUCACAUUAAGUAGUAAUUACUUACCUCACGAUGGUAGGCGAAACAUCCCUCUCCAAGAGAUCCUCAAUCGACCACCCAAGUGAAAUGAGAGAAAAAGAACCUAAGUCUGAUAUAAAUGCACGCCUCACUACCCCAACAAUUUUCGUACCUGUGACUCCGCUUCUGCGGACAAAUCGUCGCAGGUGCAGACCUUUCCCAGGCAAGCCCCUCUCGCUUCUGCGGACAAAGUCUCGCUAUUGCGAGCCCGCUUCUACGGAAAGAAACUCGCGCCUGCACAUGCGCAUCCAGUCCUGGAUAGUUACUUUCGCUUCUGCGAACGAGGCGCCUCACCUGCGGCCAUUCCCACUGUAGGUGCGAACGCACCAGAUGCCAUCCACCUUCAGCUCUUCUCCAAAGUACAAUCAAGCUCCGUUAACCCUCCGAAUCCAACACGUGGGCCCCGGGGCCUCGACCAAACAUACCAACAAGUUCGUAAACAUAAAACGGACUCGCUCGAACCCUCAGAACGUGUGAAACGACAUCAAAACUAAGAAUCGCACCGCAAAACCAAAUUGAAUCAAUUUAUGAACUUCAAGUUUUUCUAACUUACUCCGAACGCGUCGAAUCAUACUUAGACUACUCGGAAUGAUACCAAAUUUAGCGUGCAAGUCAUAAAUCACCAUAAGGAACUAUUCCAUGCUCGUAAUCCCAAACGGACUUUGAUAACACCAAAACUUACUCCAAACCAAACUUAAAGAACUUGAAGAACCUUCAACGCGCCAACUUCAAUAUUAAGCGCUGAAACGCUCCCGGAUCGUCCGAAACCCGAUCCGAACACACGCCUAAGUCCAAAAUCAUCAUACGAACCUAUUGAAACCGUCAAAUCCCGGUUCCAAGGUCGUUUACUCAAAACGUUGACUCAAGUAAAACUUGGCCAUUAUAGGCCACUACUAAGGAACUAAGUAUUCUGAUUUCAACCCGAAUACUUCCAAACCUGAAUCAACCAUUCCUGCAAGUCAUAAAACAGUAAAAGCACAUACGAAGAGUCUUAAUUAGGGGAGCGGGGAUCUAGAAAGUAAAAUGACCGGUCGGGUCAUUACAUUAUGUGUUUCACAGACUUAAACAAAGUCAAUUUUUUCCUUGAAUUAGGAUUUUAAAAUAAUCGGUGACUUGGAACACCUUAAUAAAUUAAUCCAGGUGGCGACUCUAUAAAUAAAUAAAAAAAAUAGUCCCUUUUAAAUAAUAUCAAUUAAAUUGAAAAAACUCCUUUUUUUCACAACCACCCGGAAAAAGGAUGUCUGACAAUAGAUAAAAGAAAAAAUUAAAAAUAUUGAAUAAUAAAAAUAAAUUAGAGCUAAUGUGAGGAUAUUUAUACUAAGAAUUACUUUAGAAAAUAAAAUAAAGUAAAUAUACAAUACUUAAAAAUAUUAUUGAUAAAUUUAAACAAUUUAAGAAUUUCAAUCAACAUUUUAAUUUUUUUUUAAAAAUAUUUAAUUUAAUAUAAAAAAUCACAUAUCUAUCUAUAUUAUAUUAAAAAUAGAAGUGGAUAAACAUAUUAAUUAAAGUAAAAAGUUAAUAAAAAAUCACAUAAAAACGUGAUAAUAUUACAUAUUAGAUAACAUUAUAGCAAAAGUAAGAAAAAUAAUUAAAAUAAAAAAAUCUAUAUUGAAAAUAAAAGGAAAAGACUAUUUGAACUUGAGAUUAGAAAGUUCUUAAAGUUAUGAUGAGAAUGCUCAAAAUAUGAAUAUGACCACAAAAUUAAUUUCUUGAUAUAUAAAGAAAAAUAAAAAUUUGAUACUAAAUAAAAUUUAAAUAUACUAAAGAAAUAUCUCAUGUAGGUAACUUCACUAAUGAAAAUUAAAAGCCAAAUUUGUAUGUUGAAACUAAAAGAGAAAACAAAACAAAUGCACGUAAUACAAAAAAUAAUUAUAAGAAAAUUCAAUAGAUUUAAAACAUUAUAAAAGAACUUAUGUAUUAGUCUUUUGACUAAUUCAAAGUUAUAUUUUAAAAUAAAAUGUGAUAUUAUUUUGAGUAUUGGUAAAAUAUUCAAAUAAAAAGCUAAUUAGAAUUUCUUAGUAGGGAAGAUAAUGUAUAUAGAGGAAAAUAGAGAUAGUGCAAGGAUACUUAUAUUUUUAAAUUUAUUUAAAAAUAAAUAAAUUAAAUUAUUAAAUAAUACUCAAAAAUAUUAUUAAUAGAUUUAAAUAAUGAAAGAGAUCCAAGUAAGAGGAUAAUAGUGUAAAAAUACAUUAAAUUUCAAGAAUAAUUUUUAAAUAUAUUUAUUGAUAAUUAUUAAAAGGGUAAUAAAAGAUCACAUUACAAUAUAACAAUAUUAAGUACUUAAUACAAUUUUCCAAUGAGAGAAAGCGAAAGACCAAAAAUCCUUUCGAUAAAACACUCUUUACUAUUAUAAAGAUGGACAUUUUGAAAUUUAUCAUACUAAACCACCAAAAGAUAUGUUGCAGUGGAGUGAAUGAGACUUAACCAGAGGUCUUGAGUUCGAGCAAUGGGUCAAAAAUUCUUGAUAGGGAGCGCUUUUCCUCGAAUGAGAUCCUACGCGGCACGAAUCCGAAUAUAGUCGGGCUCCAAUACGGAUAUCGAACACCAGGUGAGAAAUCAAAAAAAAAAAAAAUUAUCAUACUAAAAAUGUGAAGGAACCUCAAAAAAGGAAGUUGUACAAACUCCAUAAUGAAGGAACCUCAGUAAAGGAAUACUGCUCACCGUUGUGAUGUCAAUGGAGUUUCCCAAAAAUAAAAUAAUCCCACAUAUUCAAGCUGCAAAGGCCAAGAACUAUUAUAAAAAGAAGCUUCUCAUAGCUUAAAAAUGCAGUGAAGAAACAAUAACAAAAAUAAUGGAAAGACUAUUUUACCACACUAGCAAUUUCAUAAUCAUUACAAAGUGAAAAGUUGCAAUUUAGCACAUAUCCAACUGGAAAAAAAAAAAAGAAGCUUUCCGUCCGUAUUUUUAAACAUCACAUUGAGUGCAAAUGUUACUCUUGUGAGUGAAUUAAAUGCCUGAAAAACAGAUAUGGCACAUCAUAAUACUAGCCAACUCACUUAUCCUAGUUGUGUCACCAUUUUACAUAAAUAAAAAACAAUCACACUCAUGAACUUUUAUUUACAGAUUGAAAUUAUUGUCUUUCUUGACUCCUUCAGAAUCCAAUUGCUACGGUAUCAACACACGUAACAAUAAAUUUCAUCAUAUUUUUGGACCUUCUAUAGAUAACAUUAUCUGAUCUUUUAGGAAAUUCAUUUGAGUUAACACGCUUAAAGAUUAACACGCUUAUUUAAUUGAGUUACCUCAGUUGAAUCCUACGUGAAAGAUUACCAUGAUUCUGUUGUUGCAUGACUUGCUAACCUGCAAAUUCGUCUCAUCCAAAUGAAAAUCUCCUCCUUUUUCGCGUGUGAUCCAAUCUUCCAGCAGUAAAUUUUGACAAGUCAAAUUUUUAGUAGAACGGUUUAAUUCUAAACUAAUUUAGUUGGCAAAAGACAAAAUUCAUAAUGCAUUUGCAAAAUAUAGACAAUUACUGACAUGCAUGUAAAAGUCCUACCAAGAUAUUGUUCAAAUUAAUAGAAAACUAACAUAUAUUUUCAAAACCAGCACAACAAGUGCAAUAAACAAAGAAAAACAAUAUAAAUAUGUCACCAAACCAGAGUGCUCACACCAAAUUCAAAUAGAAGAAAGAUAGAUAAACUUAGAAACAAUGAAGAUCAAAUCCUGAUUUUUAUCGAACAUAUAGGCCAAAAACAAAGAAAGAUUGCAAGAAAACUUACCAAAUCAAUGAGCUCACAGUUGAAAGAGGGAAGAGCAGAAAGGCAAAAUAUUUGAG
This 5246-nucleotide long non-coding RNA is filed under the name Nicotiana tabacum (common tobacco). Its description in RNAcentral is "long non-coding RNA (NTAB_LNC015798)". Lineage: Eukaryota; Viridiplantae; Streptophyta; Magnoliopsida; Solanales; Solanaceae. The record is from RNAcentral.